UAUAUAUAUAUAUAUAUAUAUAAUGUAAUUCUCACAUACAUGCAUACCUGUAUGAUAUCUAGGUGUGAAGUUGGCUCAAAUGAAUGACAAAAAGCAUGUCUGUGUUCAUAUCCGCUGCCACCAUCCAGUUCCCAUUAUGGAGGCAGUUUACCACCAAGUUUCAACAGCCAUUGUUGUUGUUGUUGUUGUUGUUGUUAUUGUUGUUACUACUACUACUCUUACUACUGCUACUACGACUGCUGCAUCAGCUUCUUUCUGCUGCUGCAAACUUUUAACUUGUGCAGAUUUUCGCAUAUUUGCUCUCUUUCUCUCUCUCUCUCUCUGUCGGCGCUUGCACCGACGGUGCCAGCUGCUGACAAAUACUUUCGACUUCAUAAGCUUUGAGUAAACUAUUGGCAGCAGACCUGACCUAAAUUUCUAAACAGAUUCUUCCACAAACUCUGUGGAAAAUAACAAGUCUUUGCCCCUCUUCCUUCUCCACCACCUGCUACCCCUCCCUCAGUCCCCACCGUUCUUGUGCCGCAUUUCUUCUUGUUUGAAUUUAUUUUUCUUAUGCGGUUGAUUGGCAAAAUCAGAAGAACCCCCCCAAAAAAAAAGAAGUUUGGCUGAAACCCUUUUAUCUUUCUGGGACAUUGAUCUUAUUAACAUCCCUGACCAUUUCUCCUCCAUCAAAAUCUGGACCCCCUUUCCAACUUUCCCUUUAAUUAUAUGAAAGGCUUAAUUGGUUGGCAGAAUCAAUGGAACAGCAACAGACCAAAUCCAUUUUUAAUGUUCUGAGUUUAAAUUCUUUGAAGGUUGGCUUUGCAAUUUUGUUCUGGUGUCGACAAAACAUCCACCAGCCAAGUACUACACGAACCCCACUCCUACCAUACAUCAAGUCUGUUUCGAUACUUUUCUUUUCUUGUUUAACCCCCAGAUGACCCCCAGUUGUGCAGAUGCUUUUGAUUCUUAUUUUUUUUUCUGUUUGAGGGAGACAUGGCUGCUAUUUUUAUCAGGUCUCAUGACCAUUUAGAGAUUCUCCCAUUUCGGUUCAUCGUAUUUUCAAGGUGCUGAUUUGACAAGAGUUCGUAGUUCCAGGCUAAUUACCACACAGUAAUUAAUUCUGUCUAAUUAACCUCUCUUCUUGCUUUCUCCCUUUUCCCCAACUCUCUCUCUCUUUUUCUCUACAUACAUAGUUGCAUACAUAUAUAUAUAUAUAUAUAUAUAUAUAUAUAUAAUAUAUAUAUUGUUGGAAACACUCCAGUUGUAACUCUUGACACUUGCUAGAGCCUAACAAAUGUUAUACACAAAACCUGAAGGCCAGGGUAACUGAGGUUUUGCUCUCAUUUCUAACUCUAAACAUAUAUAUAUAUAUAUACACACACACACGCACACACAUAUACACUGUUGAUAGGCCAGUGACUGCAGUAUUUGUCCUAAGAUAACAUCUCUUCUGGACAUAACGUGUUGCAAACAAUAUCUACUGCAGUAACUUGCUUAUCAGCAAUGUAUAUACAUCAAGUAUAAUACACAGAUAGCAUAUUUAUAUUUAAAGCUGCUACCAGUUGCAUAUAUAUAUAUAUAUAUAUAUAUAUUGGAAAUAUAAUUAAAUUAGUUCCUAAGGCAGUUGUCAAUCGAUAGACUUACAAUCAAAUUACCAAUUUACACGAAACUUCUAAUUACUUGUUCGUUAUAAUCAGCUAUAAACACACUACCCCUCUCCCCCAUCUCUCUAUAAAUGUCCUUUCUCCCUUUUUGUUAAAAAGGUGACGGCACAAUUUUUAAGCCUUAUUAAAUCUCAGAACGAUGUGCCUCGUUUUAAACAGGACGACAAAACACACACACACACACAGAGGUUUUUAUACCUGAUUUAUGACUUGUGUGAUGUUUCUCUCCUUUGCUCAAAGUAGAACUGACGAGUCAGAGCUAGCUGACCACCAACAGCUUCUUCUUUAUUUUGUUGCCAUUGGUGACACUCAAAGAAAUUCAUCAUAUGUUUUAAAGAAUAUUAUAGGUUAUUGAAACAUGGCUGUGUUCUGGGAUGUAAAAUCUGGAAAUGUUUUGUGUUCACAUCAAUGAUAGAAAUUGUUGCCUCCAUCAAGUUGGUUUAGGAGAGGCCAUUCCUUUCAGAGCUCUUGAUGACCGAUGGUCAAAAUUUCUUGAUGAAUAGGACUAGGAGACUGAUUUGAACUUGGCUUGCCAGGAGCUCACUUCCUCUCUGUGGUGCUUACAUGAAUGAACGUGUGAUGUUGGGGGAAUCUAACACAGUCAGUGCAAAAGUAAAUAGACACUAUCAUUUUUGGAAGAUUUAUUUCUCUUAUUAUUUUUUAUUAUAUUUGGAUAUUUAUUGCUCAAAGAAGAAGUUUCUUUCUAAUUGCUCUGCCAAAGUAGCCAAGUUGAUGGAGGUACUUUACAGAAAUACGCUGGCUCGUUUGGUAUUGCUCCGCAGUAUCAGCUGCCUUACCAACAGGGGAUUAUUUUCAACAAUCUCUUGGAUGGCCCAAAGACACCUGUCAAAGGGCCCCAGGUCUUUCACAGCCAGAUGCUGUUGGUUCCAUCCCUUUCCAGGUGAAUUGAACAAUCACUCUGUGGACUGUGUGGCAAGACGAAUCCCUAGGUUUUUGUACAAUCUUAUGCUCGUCAAUUCCAACAAUGGAUUGUCCUGCAAAUAUGCCUUCUUUGAAAAUCAAAUCAUUCUUUGCACCAUGGCUAAUUGCAAUAAACAAUUAAUAUACAAAUUCGAAGCACCAGGGAAGUAUCUUCACAGAUAGAAUGCUAUAAUGAAGACACAUGUCUGUGGAGUGCUCAGCGACUUACACGUUAAUUUCAUGAGCAGGUUGUUCCGUUGAUCAGAUCAACCGGAACCCUCGUCAUCGUAACCGACGGAGUGCUUCCAUCCAUGCUAUAAUGUAGGGAGUCUGUUAUACUUGUGGUAUUUGUGUGUGUGUGUGUAGACAGAGAGAGAGAGAGAGAAAGCUAAUGUACAUCAUUAAAAAAAAACGAUGCUUUUCAAAAGGUUUUUCUUUUUCAAAUCUGUUUUGUUAUUUCUGAAACCUAAUUUCCUGUUCUGGGAUUUUAGAGAAGUGCAGAACUCCGUAGUUGACCAAAGUUCUGGUCUUCUCACACAAACGGUAUUGAUUGUAUUUAUUUAUAAAAUUCUACAUUGUGUGUGUGUGUGUGCCUGUUUUAUCACCCAGGAGAUCACUUAAUACCUACUUGUUUUAAAUCCUCUCCCAACAUGCCCCACCAGUCAUGCCUCAUGAAGAAAAUUGUUUAAUUUUCUGAAGGCAGUUUAUGACCUCGUUGCCUAGACAACACCACCAACAAAGAAGUGAAAAAAGGAAAAUAACUGAAUCUUUUGAAAGUCAUACAGAGAUUGUAA
This is a long non-coding RNA of Octopus sinensis (East Asian common octopus), 3361 nucleotides long. RefSeq lists it as uncharacterized. The transcript has 2 exons. The record is from RefSeq and is a predicted model, not a curated record. Lineage: Eukaryota; Metazoa; Mollusca; Cephalopoda; Octopoda; Octopodidae.